Molecule: ribosomal RNA, 487 nt
Filed under: uncultured Teleaulax
Lineage: Eukaryota; Cryptophyceae; Pyrenomonadales; Geminigeraceae
Description: bacterial SSU rRNA
Rfam family: Bacterial small subunit ribosomal RNA
Source: RNAcentral
ACGCGAAGAACCUUACCAGGGCUUGACAUGUCACAAAUCUUCCUGAAAGGGAAGAGUGCCUUCGGGAAUGUGAACACAAGUGGUGCAUGGCUGUCGUCAGCUCGUGUCGUGAGAUGUUGGGUUAAGUCCCGCAACGAGCGUAACCCUUGUCUUUAGUUGCCAUCAUUUAGUUGGGCACUUUAAAGAGACUGCCGGUGAUAAACCGGAGGAAGGUGAGGACGACGUCAAGUCAGCAUGCCCCUUACGCCCUGGGCUACACACGUACUACAAUGGCCGAGACAAAGAGUCGCAAGUUUGCAAAGACAAGCUAAUCUCAUAAACUCGGUCUCAGUUCGGAUUGUAGGCUGCAACUCGCCUACAUGAAGUUGGAAUCGCUAGUAAUCGCCGGUCAGCUAUACGGCGGUGAAUCCGUUCCCGGGCCUUGUACACACCGCCCGUCACACCAUGGAAGCUGUUCAUGCCCAAAGUCGUUACCUUAACCGCAAGG